Molecule: ribosomal RNA, 468 nt
Filed under: uncultured bacterium
Lineage: Bacteria
Description: partial 16S ribosomal RNA
Rfam family: Bacterial small subunit ribosomal RNA
Source: RNAcentral
GACGAACGCUGGCGGCGUGCUUAACACAUGCAAGUCGAACGGAAAGGCCCUGCUUUUGUGGGGUGCUCGAGUGGCGAACGGGGGAGUAAAACGUGAGUAACCUGCCCUUGACUGUGUGAUAACUUCAGGAAACUGGGGCUAAUACAGGAUAGGAGCUCCUGCUGCAUGGGGGGGGUUGGAAAGUUUCGGCGGUUGGGGAUGGACUGGCGGCUUAUCAGCUUGUUGGUGGGGUAGUGGCUUACCAAGGCUUUGAAGGGUAGCCGGCCUGAGAGGGUGACCGGCCACAUUGGGACUGAGAUACGGCCCAGACUCCUACGGGAGGCAGCAGUGGGGAAUAUUGCACAAUGGGCGGAAGCCUGAUGCAGCAACGCCGCGUGCGGGAUGACGGCCUUCGGGUUGUAAACCGCUUUCGCCUGUGACGAAGCGUGAGUGACGGUAAUGGGUAAAGAAGCACCGGCUAACUACGUG